GAAGCGAAGGGAAACACCAAGUCGCAGCUGAAGUCAUGAAUGAUGUUUCUUAUCACCGUUACUGACCGCAGCAGUGGAGUGAGUGACACGUCGAACCAGAAUCAAGUGACUCAUUCAGAGGUUCCAUGUGUUGCCUUUGAAUCAUUUGUUCUCCACGUUACCCACGUUGCGAUGCCGCAUGGAGGACAUGUGUCUAAUUUUGUGUCUUUUUACCCUCGGAGGAUCAUUUCACAAAGGUUUAGCAGUUUUGAUCCAAACCCAGCAGACGGUGUUGGCAGCAGUAGGAGAAGAUGCUCCUCUCAGCUGUUGGCUCCUGGAAACUAAAGACGUCCAGCAGGUCACCUGGCAGAAAGUGUUGGAGAAAACAGAGAGGAGUAUUGGUUCCUACAGCCAGUAUUUUGGUGAAACAGUGAAUCCUGGAUUUAAAGAUAAAGUUCAGUUUACAGAAGCUGGACUGCAGAAGAACUCUAUAGUUAUCAGGAACGUUACAGAGCAGGAUGCAGGAUGUUAUCUCUGUCUGUUCAACACCUACCUUGAUGGAGCUCUGAUAGCUGCAACCUGCCUGGAGGUUUAUGAGCUGCAUGGACCCUUCAUUGACAUCAGCAGGUCAAACUCUCCUCCAGGGUCGGUUGUGACCUGUUCAGCCACAGGUCGGCCUGUUCCCAUGGUAACACUGACUGUUCUCCAUCAGAACCUCAGCUUCUCCCACUACAACACCAGUACAGAGACCAACACCAACGGUACCGUCACCGUCACCACUAAAGUUCUGCUCUCAGAUCUCAGCAGCACACAGGUUGGAUGUUCAGUGUCAGUGGACUCUGCUGCUCCCAGAGAGCUGCUGGUCACCGUUCCUGAGGUCAAAGAUUCGUCUGAUGAUGGUUUGAAUAACCAAUCGGAGUCAGAUUUCAGAGGUUUCAGAUGGCCUCUGAUUGCUGUAUUUGUUGUAUUCCCGAUGUUCCUGAUCUGUAUUUGUGUUUUACAAUUCAGAUGAAUAUCUCAGAUCAGGAAUUUGAAACCUUCAGAGAACGCCACAGACAAUCAGAAGCCUGGCAACUCACCAGUGUGAAACAGAGACAUCAGAUUACGAACAUCUGAGAGGCAGAGACAAAACAGCGAGUCCCAUCCAUCACCAUGACAACAGAAUUACCUCAUUUGGAUGUCUGAUUAAUAGGACUUUUAUCCAGAGAUGUAUGAAAAACAUUACAUAUAUUGCAUGUAUAUGGUGUCACUUCAUAGCAUUAUCAAAUAACCUUUGGUUUUUAUGAAUGUACCGUUCAGAUCAGAAAUGAUGUCAAAGAACUAUAACUUAUUUUUUGCCACUGGAGAUUCUAGAAUUUUUCAGAAAUGCAUCAAUGUGUCAGUGCAACACAGCAGGUAUGUUUUUGAUGAGGGAACAACAUUAUAACAUGAUAAGUAGAUUUUACAAAGACAAUAAUUUCUGAUCAAAUUGAAACAAAAUACUAAAAUUUCAAACUUGAUAUUGAAACUAAGAAAAUACUCAAUAUUAUUUUUGAUUUUUGAAGUGACAGGGUUCUUUCUAGGUAAGAAAGAAAAAUGAAAUUGUUCAGCAGCAGCUGUACAAUUAGCUUGUAGCAUGAGCAUGUAGCAUUAGCAUGCAGCAUUAGCACAUUCAGCAUAAGUUUCUUCCCUUUCUCCGUUUAUACGUUUAUAUUGUGUUCUGGUUGAAUUUGCUGUUAGAUUUUAAUUCUUGCAGCAGCUCAUUGACAAGAUGGUGACUUUCUGUUAGUUGCUGUGAUGCUGCUGGAAGAAGCAGCAUAUUUGCUCGCAACAAUGUGAGCAAAUAUGUAUUGGUCUGUCAUUAUCAAUUUUAUUUUUGAAUAAUUCCUGUUUCUAGUACCGAUUGUGUUUAGAUAUUGAUUAUUUUGAUGACCUCAGUGGUUAGACUUUUUGUCAGGCAGUCAGAAGGUUGUGGGUUUGAUUUCAAUUUCCUGCCAUCUCAUGUUUGAUGGAAGAGUAAGGCACUUAAUAUGCGAUGUAAUGUAUAGAUUCUUCUGGAUUUAAAACUAUGCACACAUUCAGCCAUAUCUGGAGGUUCAAGCACUAAUGUAGAAAACGCACUUUGAUUUCAGAAAGUUAUGAAGGAACUCGGCAGUUGAAUUUUACCUUCAACAAAUCGGACUGAGAAACAUUUCCAGCAUUAUAAGCUGAGCUGAAGGUAAACACCAAGUUACAGCUAAAGUAAUGAAGGAUAUUGAUUGCACUGUUAUUAUUUAUACUGAGGGAAAGUACAUGAGUGAGACAGAAGAAGGAGAUAUGAUGGAUGGGUUAAAAUAAUUAAGAUUCUAUCAUAAAGUACUAUAUUAGUCAUGAUUUACGUACGUAAAGGUUUCUUUUAAUUUAUUGUUAUUAGACAUUUUUGCACCCUGUCUUCAUUUUGUUACAAAAAACUUUAUGGAGUCUCUAAUUUCCAUUUUUCAUCAAUUUCAACUACUGAUGUCCGCUGUGUGUAAGUUUUGGUGACCAUUACUCACUAAGAUGCUGUAUUAAAAAAUAUUGUUAAAUAUUCA
This is an RNA transcript of Xiphophorus hellerii (green swordtail), 2528 nucleotides long. It is a transcript of the gene named OX-2 membrane glycoprotein-like, with no coding region annotated. The transcript has 7 exons. The record is from RefSeq and is a predicted model, not a curated record. Lineage: Eukaryota; Metazoa; Chordata; Actinopteri; Cyprinodontiformes; Poeciliidae.